AUUGAACGCUGGCGGCAUGCCUUACACAUGCAAGUCGAACGGCAGCAUGAUCUAGCUUGCUCGAUUGAUGGCGAGUGGCGAACGGGUGAGUAAUACAUCGGAACGUUCCCUGUAGUGGGGGAUAACUAGUCGAGAGAUUAGCUAAUACCGCAUACGACCUGAGGGUGAAAGUGGGGGACCGCAAGGCCUCAUGCUAUAGGAGCGGCCGAUGUCUGAUUAGCUAGUUGGUGAGGUAAAGGCUCACCAAGGCGACGAUCAGUAGCUGGUCUGAGAGGACGAUCAGCCACACUGGGACUGAGACACGGCCCAGACUCCUACGGGAGGCAGCAGUGGGGAAUUUUGGACAAUGGGCGAAAGCCUGAUCCAGCAAUGCCGCGUGUGUGAAGAAGGCCUUCGGGUUGUAAAGCACUUUUGUCCGGAAAGAAAUGGCUCUGGUUAAUACCUGGGGUAGAUGACGGUACCGGAAGAAUAAGGACCGGCUAACUACGUG
This 490-nucleotide ribosomal RNA is filed under the name uncultured bacterium. RNAcentral describes it as "partial 16S ribosomal RNA". It matches the Rfam family "Bacterial small subunit ribosomal RNA", at positions 30 to 507 of the family's 1533-position model. The record is from RNAcentral.